Molecule: non-coding RNA, 142 nt
Organism: Gossypium raimondii (Peruvian cotton)
Lineage: Eukaryota; Viridiplantae; Streptophyta; Magnoliopsida; Malvales; Malvaceae
Source: Rfam
GAUUAAAAAUUUCAUUCAUUUCUACUAUUAAAAAUUGGUAUUGCUGACAGAAUAACCAAACAAUUACUUGUGGAGUGCCAUGUGUGCUUCAUUUUGACAUACGACCAAUUUUUAACAGUAAAAAUAGAUAAAAUUUAGAGAA